This 493-nucleotide ribosomal RNA is filed under the name uncultured bacterium. RNAcentral describes it as "bacterial SSU rRNA". It matches the Rfam family "Bacterial small subunit ribosomal RNA", at positions 36 to 518 of the family's 1533-position model. The record is from RNAcentral.
CUGGCGGCGUGCCUAACACAUGCAAGUCGAGCGAGAAAGUUCCUUCGGGAGACGAGUACAGCGGCGGACGGGUGAGUAACACGUGAACAACCUACCCUUGAGACAGGGAUAACAGCGGGAAACCGUUGCUAAUACCUGAUAUGAUCAUAGUAUCGCAUGAUAUUGUGAGGAAAGGAUUUAUUGCUCAAGGAUGGGUUCGCGUCCCAUUAGCUAGUUGGUGGGGUAAAGGCCUACCAAGGCGACGAUGGGUAGCCGGCCUGAGAGGGUGUCCGGCCACACUGGAACUGAGACACGGUCCAGACUCCUACGGGAGGCAGCAGUGGGGAAUUUUGCGCAAUGGGGGAAACCCUGACGCAGCGACGCCGCGUGAGCGAAAGAAGGUUUUCGGAUCGUAAAGCUCUGUCGUUUGAGACGAAUGUGCAGACUUUGAAUAAGGGUUUGUAAUGACGGUAUUAAACGAGAAAGCCACGGCUAACUACGUGCCAGCAGCUGC